AGAGUUUGAUCCUGGCUCAGGAUGAACGCUGGCGGCGUGCUUAAUACAUGCAAGUCGAACGGAGACAUUAGCAAUAAUGUUUUAGUGGCGAACGGGUGAGUAACGCGUUGGUGACCUGCCCCGAAGAGAGGGAUAACAGUCCGAAAGGAUUGCUAAUACCCCAUGUGGUUGUUUGGAUUAGAUGCCUUACAACUAAACGGAUUUAUUCGCUUCGGGAGGGGCCUGCGUACCAUCAGCUUGUUGGUAGGGUAAUGGCCUACCAAGGCUAUGACGGUUAGGGGACCUGAGAGGGUGGCCCCCCACAAUGGAACUGAAACACGGUCCAUACACCUACGGGUGGCAGCAGUAGGGAAUAUUGGUUAAUCUACGAAAGUGGGAACCAGCAACGCCGCGUGCACGAUGACGGCCUUCGGGUUGUAAAGUGCUUUUUGAGAGGAUGAGGAAGGACAGUACUCCUAG
Molecule: ribosomal RNA, 459 nt
Filed under: uncultured bacterium
Lineage: Bacteria
Description: bacterial SSU rRNA
Rfam family: Bacterial small subunit ribosomal RNA
Source: RNAcentral